RNAcentral lists this ribosomal RNA (487 nucleotides) under uncultured bacterium. Its description in RNAcentral is "partial 16S ribosomal RNA". It matches the Rfam family "Bacterial small subunit ribosomal RNA", at positions 28 to 507 of the family's 1533-position model. The record is from RNAcentral.
GAUGAACGCUAGCGAUAGGCUUAACACAUGCAAGUCGAGGGGCAGCACAAGGUAACUUGCUAUUUGGGUGGCGACCGGCGCACGGGUGCGUAACGCGUAUGCAACUUGCCCUAUACAGGAGGAUAAACCGACGAAAGCCGAACUAAUACUGCGAAUGCUCCCAACUUGGCAUGCAGUGGAGAGGAAAGACAUUCGCUAUAGGAUAGGCAUGCGUCCCAUUAGCUUGUUGGUGAGGUAACGGCUCACCAAGGCAACGAUGGGUAGGGGAACUGAGAGGGUUAUCCACCAGACUGGUACUGAGACACGGACCCGAAUACUACGGGACGCAGCAGUGAGGAAUAAUGGUGAAGGAGCGCUGGUCUGACCCAGCCAAGUCGCGGGAAGGAGGACUGUGGUAGGAAUUGUAAACUUCUUUUAUACGGGAAUAACAAGAGUGACGUGUGCCUUUCUGCAGGUACCGUAUGAAUAAGCAUCGGCUAACUUCGUG